AGCCUCCCAAUGCUUACCACAGGCUGUGUUCUUUACACUUACUGUAUAGAAAGAGGAGGUAUAGUAAAUGCACCCCAUAUACACCUCAACCCAGGACCUUUGCCAGGACUCUAUUGCGAAUGGGGGGACAAAA
Small nucleolar RNA from Suncus etruscus (white-toothed pygmy shrew), 133 nucleotides. RefSeq annotates it as small nucleolar RNA SNORA51. The record is from RefSeq and is a predicted model, not a curated record. NCBI's taxonomy places the organism in Eukaryota, Metazoa, Chordata, Mammalia, Eulipotyphla, Soricidae. The transcript has a single exon.